RNAcentral lists this long non-coding RNA (282 nucleotides) under Cavia porcellus (domestic guinea pig). RNAcentral's name for it is "lncRNA (ENSCPOG00000032512.1)". Lineage: Eukaryota; Metazoa; Chordata; Mammalia; Rodentia; Caviidae. The record is from RNAcentral.
CCUUGAAGCUGUGUUGCCGGCUUGUGAAUCUGGUGUGGAAGAUGACCAAAUGGCCCAGGUUGUGGAAUGCUUAUUUUCCCUUCUAUCAGACUGUAUGUGGGAUACUCCCAUUGCUCAGGCCAAACAUGCUAUUCAGAUAAAGGAAAAAGGACAAGAAAUAAAAUCACAGCAAGGAGAGUUGGAAGAAGAAGAUGAAAACCUUCCUAUACAAGAAGUAUCUUUUGAUGCAGAGAAAGCUCAGUGUUGCCUAGUGGAGAAUGGACAGGUUUUAACUCAUGGCAG